CAUGGCGCCGCCAGCUCCGUCCACCCCAAGCCUCGCCGCUGCCACCGUUGGAACCGCCUCGUCGCCCUCUACGUUCGGGUGCAAGGAAUCGAGCUAAUACCCUGUAAAUCGAGCGCAGUUUCGCGGAUUCCUUGCGCUGGUCGUCGUCUUUCUUCUUCGAUUCCGGCGAACCUCGGCCUCCCCUGCUUCUUCCGAGCACACGUUGAGCUUCAGGCAGCUCGCCGGCGACCCUCCUCCGGUGGUCCCCCGCUCCCGGCGCCGCCUCCAUCUGGUCCGCGUCGACAAGACGCGUCGUCUGCGCCAAGCCUCGCUUCCUGGGGAGCCCUGCGUCGCCCGCGCGCAACCGUGCUGACCGCGGUGACCACCGCCACGGGAACACGCGCUGGCAUCCCCUUUCCGUCGAGCACCUUCCGUGCGUGCCUGGAUGGUUUGCCACGGUAGCCUCCACGUCAACCCUCGGGCCCCAUCCGUCAUCCUCUCGGGCUAAGCCCAUCCUGCAUUUGCUUCUUCCCGGAUAGGAUCGCGAAGUGGUGUUGUGAGAUACGACAAGUUCUUCUGCAGCUUUUCACAGGCGAGCCCACCCCUUCACCUAUUUUACAUUUACAUGCUCUUUUGAUCUAUUGCUAUCCUUAUGUUGCGAUUCUGUUGUGUCACGUGCCCUAUCCACCUGUUACCUAUAUGUCCGAGAUACACCUCCUCGCCCUACCUAUUGUUUGUUGUUUGCCAGCUUUGCGAGUCGUAGGCGAGUUUAGGGUUUUGUUGAUAUCUCGAAAUGUUCGGGAUAUCUUGUUGGGAGGUUAUCACAUGCUAUAUCUUUUGUUGGAGAUAAUCACACUUUACUUUAUUGUUAACAACUAAAAUUGUAAGCAGAGGCAUCUGUGAGCCCCUUUGCGAAAGCAUCGGAACUUUGACUCGCUAAUGUCCCCUAGGACCCGAGUUCUUGUUAUCUGUUCCGAGAUUGAGCGCUCUACCCGUACGUGGGGGAAUGGGACCCCCAUCACCCACUACCUUUCCUCGAGUCUGUUUAUUGGGAGCCACAACCUUGGUUUUAUUUUGCUCAUAUGCAUGAUGCACGAUUUACUUCUGUUGCCUUCGGGUGUUUAUUUCUGUACUGUACUCAUAACGUGGAACGAUUAGCGACAGCAGGUUGUUCACACUUAGCUUAGCCGUUGGCACAAACCUCUGGGUCCGUAUCGGAGUACGGCCGAACUUCGUCACGGGUAGCUUAGUUGGGUGGCUCCCAUUAAACUUUCUCUUGCAUUGGGAACGGUCUUGAUGUGAGACUCCACCUGUAGUAAGUGGGUUCGAGCAUGCGUAUGGUUACAUUUGGGCAACCCCUGCAGGGUGUACAUCUUAUCGAUAAGCCGUGUCCGCGGUUAUGGACGACUUGGAAUUGUAUAGCUCGAUCAUAGAACAACUUACACCUUAUUUCCUGUUGUUAAUAAAUUGCUAAUAAAACUCUUUCAAAAGUGUGUGUGCCUUUGCAGUACCUCUUGGCGAAGGGGGAUCGCAUCGGCUGUGUUAUGUUUGCAGAGUAUAGAACUGCUAGAUUAUGCGCUUUCUCACCUUUUCUAAUAGACGAAUGUUGUAGCGUGUCUCUAUUGGAUAGUAGCUUUGCUGCCGCUAAGCUCCACAUAUAGCCGGGUGAAGUUUAUACCGCCCACCAGCGAGCAUAGCUGGUCUUGUCUCGCAAGUACGUGCCAAUGGUACUUACCCUCGCCUUCCUUUCUUUUUGUCUCCUCCCCCUUUUGUCGGCAACCGAUGGCCCGACUUUGACAGGUACGAGAUGAUGACGUUAGCAAGGUUACCCUUCCGGCUUGGCCUGGGCCGGGUUAUGGACGCCACUGGUUAUCUUCAGGACUCUUAGUCCAAUUUGUAUCUUGUCCGUACUCGGACAUAUUCGAUCUUCUGUAUGAUUUGGAUCUUUGUAUUGUAUAUUUGUAUCUUGACUCGUUGGAGUCGUUGUUGUAAUAUAUGUAUCUCGUGGGCUCUAUUGUAAUCCCGUUGUAA
This is a non-coding RNA of Lolium perenne, 2010 nucleotides long. The record is from RefSeq and is a predicted model, not a curated record. NCBI's taxonomy places the organism in Eukaryota, Viridiplantae, Streptophyta, Magnoliopsida, Poales, Poaceae.